UGGGAAGACCCCGCUCUGACCAUCCGU
This 27-nucleotide non-coding RNA is filed under the name Mus musculus (house mouse). The record is from RNAcentral. Lineage: Eukaryota; Metazoa; Chordata; Mammalia; Rodentia; Muridae.